RNAcentral lists this long non-coding RNA (540 nucleotides) under Spirodela polyrhiza (greater duckweed). Its description in RNAcentral is "long non-coding RNA (SPOL_LNC001145)". Lineage: Eukaryota; Viridiplantae; Streptophyta; Magnoliopsida; Alismatales; Araceae. The record is from RNAcentral.
GGACGUUCCCCCUCUGUACAUAGUCGGAGCUUUCAUCCCGGCCACCAUGAUCGCCGUGCUCUACUACUUCGACCACAGCGUCGCGUCGCAGCUGGCCCAGCAGAAAGAGUUCAACCUGAAGAAGCCCCCCUCGUACCACUACGAUCUCCUCCUCCUGGGUUUCCUGGUCUGCGCCGUCCUUCCUUUUUAUGGCAAUCGCGACCCCCAUUAAUUAGGUACCCGAAUCCUGCUCACCUUGUGCGAAUCUUCAGACCUUGCUCUGCGGGCUCAUUGGGAUCCCUCCGGCGAACGGCGUCAUCCCCCAGUCUCCGAUGCACACGAAGAGUCUGGCCACGCUCAAACACCAGGUUGCAGAGACAGAUUUUCUUCCUUCUGCUGAAGCCCCCAUGAAUGAGGACGAGCUCCCUCCCUCUAAUGGCGAUUGCUUCCCUGAAAACAGCUGCUGCGCAACAAGCUGGCGUCGACUGCCCGCAAGAGCAUCGCCCAGAACUCGAGCUUGACUCAGCUCUACGGCGACAUGCAGGAAGCCUACAACCAGAU